This 196-nucleotide ribosomal RNA is filed under the name uncultured bacterium. Its description in RNAcentral is "partial 16S ribosomal RNA". It matches the Rfam family "Bacterial small subunit ribosomal RNA", at positions 337 to 525 of the family's 1533-position model. The record is from RNAcentral.
UCCUACGGGAGGCAGCAGUGGGGAAUAUUGCACAAUGGACGAAAGUCUGACGGAGCGACGCCGCGUGGAUGACGAAGGCCGAAAGGUUGUAAAAUCCUUUUGUCGAGGAAGAGUAAGCUAGGGAGGGAAUGCCCUGGUGAUGACAUGAAUCGAUGAAUAAGCCCCGGCUAACUACGUGCCAGCAGCCGCGGUAAUA